GUUUCAGCCGCCGCGGUAAAACGUAGGACGCGAGCGUUAUCCGGAGUUACUGGGCGUAAAGCGCGGGCAGGCGGCCUGCCAAGUCUGAUGUGAAAUCACCCGGCUUAACCGGGCGAGGCCAUUGGAAACUGAUAGGCUGGAGGGCAGUAGAGGUAGGCGGAAUUCCGGGUGGAGUGGUGAAAUGCGUAGAGAUCCGGAGGAACACCAGAGGCGAAGGCGGCCUACUGGGCUGCACCUGACGCUGAGCCGCGAAAGCCAGGGGAGCGAACGGGAUUAGAAACCCUCGUAGUCC
This 292-nucleotide ribosomal RNA is filed under the name uncultured bacterium. RNAcentral's name for it is "partial 16S ribosomal RNA". It matches the Rfam family "Bacterial small subunit ribosomal RNA", at positions 505 to 796 of the family's 1533-position model. The record is from RNAcentral.